UAAUAUAACAAAUUUAAAGAAUAAUAAACUCGAUCAUAAUAGACUGAUACAAUAAAAACUGUUUUAAGCCUAAGAAAAAUUUAAAUCUGAUUUCCAGAUUUUUUGGCUUUUGAAUUCUACCAAAUCUCUAAUCUCAGACACUGACAAAAGACAAAAAAUGAAAAAAAAAAUCUCACAAGGAUAUCUUAGAAGAGAAUAAAACUCCUAUUAAUAAAAUUUAGGGAAAAAGAAUCUCUCAAUAGGAAAUCUUGGGAGAGAAUUUAUUCAAACAAAAAAUUAAAAUUAGGAAAAUGACCCUCUAAUAGAGAAAUACCAGAUUAUGUGUGAAAAGGUGAAUUCUGGUUUCUUGAGUUGGUUGAGCGGCUAGGGUGUUCUCCCGCUGUAGGUCACGGCUUUAUGGAAAUCACUUGUUCAAGUUAUGGAGACGGGGCUGUGUCCCCCAAUCCUCCUCCAACGAUCUAGUCAGUUGAAAUAAGGAGGGGAACGAAUGGAGUUCUUUAGAGAGUGAUUCUUACAGAAUAUGUUGUGUGUCCAUCUGAGUGAGAGAUUCCGAUAUUUAUAUGGGACAACUUGGAGGGAAGGAUAGUGAGAUCCAAGUUCCUAGGAUCCAACAGAAUGAGCGUAUCAGUCUGAUUUGAUAGAUCUGCACCAGGGACAAGUCUCAUCAGAUGUCCUGUCCUUCUGCGGGUGUCAGGGUCUUAGACUGGAUCUCCGAGGUCACGUCAAGAGCAGUGCCAUUGAGGACUAUGGCUGAGGAGGUCACUUUGGUCAUCCGUUGGCAGGGUGCAUCCGAGGUGACCAAAACGGAUGGGGAUAGCCCAUGGGAUGAGGGGGUCAUCUCGACACGUGUCGAGAUGACCAUUAUCAGAAACUACUGUGAGUCUGUCCCCUGCCUAGCCGGGAUGACCACCCUCAAUGUGCAAUCUCCCACGAGGGAGUCAAAUGAGAUUUUGGUUAAAAGAAUUUUAGAGAGAAGGAAGAGAGAAUGAGGUCUAGAA
RNAcentral lists this long non-coding RNA (998 nucleotides) under Coffea arabica (coffee). Its description in RNAcentral is "long non-coding RNA (CARA_LNC005731)". The record is from RNAcentral. Lineage: Eukaryota; Viridiplantae; Streptophyta; Magnoliopsida; Gentianales; Rubiaceae.